AAUGAACGCUGGCGGCAGGCCUAACACAUGCAAGUCGAACGGGUCCUUCGGGACUAGUGGCGGACGGGUGAGUAACGCGUGGGAACGUGCCCUUUGCUACGGAAUAGCCUCUGGAAACGGAGAGUAAUACCGUAUGUGCCCUUUGGGGGAAAGAUUUAUCGGCAAAGGAUCGGCCCGCGUUGGAUUAGGUAGUUGGUGGGGUAAUGGCCUACCAAGCCGACGAUCCAUAGCUGGUUUGAGAGGAUGAUCAGCCACACUGGGACUGAGACACGGCCCAGACUCCUACGGGAGGCAGCAGUGGGGAAUCUUAGACAAUGGGGGAAACCCUGAUCUAGCCAUGCCGCGUGAUCGAUGAAGGCCUUAGGGUUGUAAAGAUCUUUCAGGUGGGAAGAUAAUGACGGUACCACCAGAAGAAGCCCCGGCUAACUCCGUGCCAGCCGCCGCCGUAA
This 449-nucleotide ribosomal RNA is filed under the name uncultured bacterium. RNAcentral describes it as "partial 16S ribosomal RNA". It matches the Rfam family "Bacterial small subunit ribosomal RNA", at positions 29 to 523 of the family's 1533-position model. The record is from RNAcentral.